UUCCAACUCUCAAAACGCCGUUCUUUCAAAUCAAUUGCUAGUAAAUGCCAAUUCCAAUUACUAUGUAAAGGAAUAAGUACACAUCUAGAAGUGCUGCAGGUAUGUGUAUUUAUUUUAUCCAGAAAGUGACGUAUAGAUGCGGAUCCAAAUGCCACAUUCUUUAGAAAAUCAGCUGUUACUGACGUAUCCUUUCCAAAUCCCUGCAUCUUAUUGAGUACAUGCAUCUGCAUAGAAACAGAAAUUAAGAUAGCAAGAUGCCUUACGAAACCUUGCGGGAAACUCAAAUGUUAUUAUUUGGACGGUUCAUAUGUUCACAGAUUAUGGAACAGGAGCUAAUCAAUAUUAUUCAACAAAUUGAGAAUCGGACUU
Molecule: long non-coding RNA, 369 nt
Filed under: Ananas comosus (pineapple)
Lineage: Eukaryota; Viridiplantae; Streptophyta; Magnoliopsida; Poales; Bromeliaceae
Description: long non-coding RNA (ACOM_LNC038786)
Source: RNAcentral